RNAcentral lists this ribosomal RNA (501 nucleotides) under uncultured bacterium. RNAcentral's name for it is "partial 16S ribosomal RNA". It matches the Rfam family "Bacterial small subunit ribosomal RNA", at positions 29 to 523 of the family's 1533-position model. The record is from RNAcentral.
AUUGAACGCUGGCGGCAUGCCUUACACAUGCAAGUCGAACGGCAGCACGGGUGCUUGCACCUGGUGGCGAGUGGCGAACGGGUGAGUAAUACAUCGGAACGUACCUUAUCGUGGGGGAUAACGCAGCGAAAGCUGUGCUAAUACCGCAUACGCCCUGAGGGGGAAAGCGGGGGAUCGAAAGACCUCGCGCGAUUAGAGCGGCCGAUGCCUGAUUAGCUUGUUGGUGGGGUAAAAGCCCACCAAGGCGACGAUCUGUAGCUGGUCUGAGAGGACGAUCAGCCACACUGGGACUGAGACACGGCCCAGACUCCUACGGGAGGCAGCAGUGGGGAAUUUUGGACAAUGGGGGAAACCCUGAUCCAGCAAUGCCGCGUGAGUGAAGAAGGCCUUCGGGCUGUAAAGCUCUUUUGUCAGGGAAGAAACACCGGCUCUAACACAGUCCGGGAAUGACGGUACCUGAAGAAUAAGCACCGGCUAACUACGUGCCAGCCGCCGCGGUAA